RNAcentral lists this transfer RNA (56 nucleotides) under Metastrongylus pudendotectus. RNAcentral's name for it is "tRNA-Gln". The record is from RNAcentral. Lineage: Eukaryota; Metazoa; Nematoda; Chromadorea; Rhabditida; Metastrongylidae.
UGUAGUUUAGUUUAUAUAGAAUUUUUAUUUUUGGUGUAAAAGGUUUAAAGUACAGU